UUAAUUAAUUUUAUGAGAGCGUGAACUUUAUACACUAUAACUAUAAAUAGAUCAAAAUAUAUCUUAUUUUUUUAGAUGAAAAGAGGGAAAAUAUGGCUGAAAAUUUAAAGUUCGUUUAUCUUCUGAUUCUAUUUAUUUCCAUAUUUCUUGUCAUUAUAGUAUCUCAUUCUAUUACUCCUUGGCUUAAAAAAAACUGUGUAACGGAUAAAGAUUGCCCAAAAGUUGCAAAAAUUAAUAUUAGGUGUCGUCGUGGCCAAUGUGUACAGGUCUUCUGAAUCUGAGAUGAGUGAGUACUUGGGCUAGCAAAUUAAUUAUAUAAUAUACCUAUGCUAGAAUAUUCCACGAGUUGUCAUCUUGUUUUUUUUUUUUUUUCAUAUACAAUAUAAUUGUAUUUUUUCUUCUUAAUUUCAUGGACUUUAAAGUUAUGAUAUUGUAAUCUAAGAUUGUUGAAAUGAAAUAAAAUAAAGCAGCAAAAAUUUUGAUGUAUAGUGUCCUCUUAUCUUUUAAAUUUGGAGGUAUUGAUAAAUUUGUAGCAAAUUGUAUUCAAAAUCCAUUGAAGUAAUAAAAUAAAUUUGUCUCUAUAAGAAUAGUUUUAAUCUCGACUUGGAAAUGUAAUUAUAGCUAGGGAUGGCAAAAAAAGGUCAACCCGCUCCGUCAAUAGCCCGUCUAAAAGUAAAGCCUAACCCGCUAGAAGAGAUCUUGGUUGGAUACAAGACCUGUUUUUUAAAACUUUCAGAAUGUUUUUGUGUAAAAGUGGUCUUAAAUCUUUAAAAAAAACAGGUCUUGUAUUGUAUAUCAGAUUUACACUAGUGACCCCUACAGUUUUUGGUACAUGAGUACUCGCAAAAAACAUCCGCAAUUGGUAGGUAAAAUUCUUCAUUUUCUUAGGUUCGGGCCUGCAAAUUUAAAUGGAUAUGAGCGCGAGUAAAGGUGUUAUAUUGCACAGCCCCGCAAUCCGUAUAAACAUAUUUAUAUAAUAUGAUAAAUAAUUUAUUUAUUUGUGGUGUAUAAUUAAUUAUUUUUUUUAGCUAUUUAAGCCUAAACUUAAACCUAAAAACUACUUAAUAAAGUAACCGCUCCCUCUUGCUGGUGUACAAUUUUUGAAGUAUAUUUUGGAUGUUUUUUAUUUGGCCAAAUAUUAUGGUUCCUAAUAUUUUAUGAGUUUAUUUGAAAAAAAUGGAUCAUAGUUUUAUUUCAAUUGUAAUGUUUUUAUUGUCUUUUCAUAGUUAAAGUGUAGGUAACGGAUGCAGGUAUGGACAGUUAGGUGUCAAUAAUGUAUGGAAAUUGUAAAUAAAGUUGUUGUCCACGAGUAUACAAGCUCAGUUUCGUGUAUUUUUUACAAACACGAUUAUGGGUAUGGGCACUGUAUAAUACUCUACCCAUAGGGGAUCCAAUGCUAGUGGCGGAGCCGCGUGAGAGUGAGGGGUGCAGCUGCACCUUCUGAGAUUUAUAAAACUUCAUAAAAACUACUUAUUUUUUCGAUUUUUACCAUUGUUUUAUAUCGAUGUUCCCCCUAAAAUUCACAAAUAUCCAAGAGGUUAUGGUGUUGCACCUUACCAUAUGUUCCAUAUUGUUAAGGUACGGUACCACCAUCACACCACUAAUAACACUCUUCACACACUCCAAUAUCUUUGAAUCAAAAUUACGGUAUAUUUUCCUUUAAAACACACACCUAUAUUUGUUGUUGGUACACAAUUUUUUCCCCUUUAUUUCACUAUCUUUUUUGGGUGGGGUUUGCGUUAAUUUAUAUGUAUGUAAUUUUUGCCUUUAUUUCAUUGUUAUUGUUAUUACAAUUGCAUAGAUGACAAUUAAAGUAUGUAUGUCUUUCGAAAAAAAUAAACUAAAGUAUGCAUAUCCCCUUAAAAAAAAAACUAGAUUAAAGUUUGUAUAUAAAUUUUUUGGGUAGAAAGUACUCCAUCCGUCCCAUUUUAGUACAUGUUAUAUAUAUAUAUUAACUAUUAAAUAAAUUUCAAAAGGUCGAACCCCUAACUCAAGGUCUUGGCAACGCCACUGUCCAAUGCCAUCCCUUGUUUUUGGAACCACCAAGACCAAAAAAGAGUGGUUCUAUGAUAAAUAUAACUCAUUUUGAAAAACCAUUUUGGUUUACAUUCAAUACCACUUUACUUUGUAAAUAAAUAUGAAUCAUAUAGUUGAUCUGAAUGAGAAGGUCCAAUAAAUUAUAAAAUUACUAUUUUUAAAUAAAUAUUCUUUAUGAUUCAAUUAUUUAAUCAAAAUAUAUAUUGAUCAUACAAUACGAUCUAGUUGUGCAUAAAUAUUUCUCACCCAAAUGAUACAUUAUAUUCCUUAAACACCAAGUGCAAAAAAAAAAAAAAAAAAAAAAUCCCUUUACCAUGACAAAAGGUUAAAAAAAGUAAAGAACUUUUAUUAAAGAAAAUUUAGUUAAACAAUAUUCAACACUUAUGAUUAUCAAGUUUAUUAUAUGACCUCCUUUAGAAGUGUCUGAAAGGCAAAAACACAACGCACCGACAUAAUCAUGAGGCAUUUAAAGGGGGUUUUUAAAUUUUAUAAAUGCUUAAAUAAUUUAAUUAAUUUUAUGAGAGCGUGAACUUUAUACACUAUAACUAUAAAUAGAUCAAAAUAUAUCUUAUUUUUUUAGAUGAAAAGAGGGGAAAUAUGGCUGAAAAUUUAAAGUUCGUUUAUCUUCUGAUUCUAUUUAUUUCCAUAUUUCUUGUCAUUAUAGUAUCUCAUUCUAUUACUCCUUGGCUUAAAAAAAUCUGUGUAACGGAUAAAGAUUGCCCAAAAGUUGCAAAAAUUAAUAUUAGGUGUCGUCGUGGCCAAUGUGUACAGGUCUUCUGAAUCUGAGAUGAGUGAGUACUUGGGCUAGCAAAUUAAUUAUAUAAUAUACCUAUGCUAGAAUAUUCCACGAGUUGUCAUCUUGUUUUUUUUUUUUUUUUCAUAUACAAUAUAAUUGUAUUUUUUCUUCUUAAUUUCAUGGACUUUAAAGUUAUGAUAUUGUAAUCUAAGAUUGUUGAAAUGAAAUAAAAUAAAGCAGCAAAAAUUUUGAUAUAUAGUGUCCCCUUAUCUUUUAAAUUUGGAGGUAUUGAUAAAUUUGU
RNAcentral lists this long non-coding RNA (3074 nucleotides) under Medicago truncatula (barrel medic). RNAcentral's name for it is "long non-coding RNA (MTRU_LNC005547)". The record is from RNAcentral. Lineage: Eukaryota; Viridiplantae; Streptophyta; Magnoliopsida; Fabales; Fabaceae.